RNAcentral lists this ribosomal RNA (620 nucleotides) under uncultured bacterium. RNAcentral describes it as "bacterial SSU rRNA". It matches the Rfam family "Bacterial small subunit ribosomal RNA", at positions 440 to 1054 of the family's 1533-position model. The record is from RNAcentral.
UGGGGACGAAGGGCAAAGGGUUAAUAGCCCCUAGCCUGACGGUACCCUUCGAGGAAGCCCCGGCUAACUACGUGCCAGCAGCCGCGGUAAUACGUAGGGGGCGAGCGUUGUCCGGAAUUAUUGGGCGUAAAGAGCGUGUAGGCGGUCCGGUAAGUCCGCCGUGAAAACCCGGGGCUCAACCCCGGGCUUGCGGUGGAUACUGUCGGGCUAGAGGAUGGUAGAGGGGAGUGGAAUUCCCGGUGUAGCGGUGAAAUGCGCAGAUAUCGGGAGGAACACCAGUAGCGAAGGCGGCUCCCUGGGCCAUUCCUGACGCUGAGACGCGAAAGCUAGGGGAGCGAACAGGAUUAGAUACCCUGGUAGUCCUAGCCGUAAACGAUGAACACUAGGUGUGGGGGGAGUCGAAUCUCUCCGUGCCGCAGCCAACGCGAUAAGUGUUCCGCCUGGGGAGUACGGCCGCAAGGCUAAAACUCAAAGGAAUUGACGGGGGCCCGCACAAGCAGCGGAGCAUGUUCUUUAAUUCGAUGCAACGCGAAGAACCUUACCUGGGCUUGACAUGGCGCUGCAAGCGCACGGAAACGUGUGACCUUCGAGGGUGCGCCACAGAUGCUGCAUGGCUGUCG